Molecule: transfer RNA, 73 nt
Filed under: Pteropus alecto (black flying fox)
Lineage: Eukaryota; Metazoa; Chordata; Mammalia; Chiroptera; Pteropodidae
Rfam family: tRNA
About the family: Transfer RNA (tRNA) molecules are approximately 80 nucleotides in length.
Source: Rfam by way of RNAcentral
GGUUCCAUAGUGUAGCGGGGAGCACAUCUGCUUUACACGUAGAAGGUCCUGGGUUUGCCCCCCAGUGGAGCCA